RNAcentral lists this ribosomal RNA (418 nucleotides) under uncultured Antarctic bacterium. Its description in RNAcentral is "bacterial SSU rRNA". It matches the Rfam family "Bacterial small subunit ribosomal RNA", at positions 923 to 1339 of the family's 1533-position model. The record is from RNAcentral.
GCACAAGUAGUGGAGCAUGUGGUUUAAUUCGAAGAUACGCGCAGAACCUUACCAACACUUGACAUGUUCGUCGCGACUCUAAGAGAUUAGAGUUUUCGGUUCGGCCGGACGACACACAGGUGCUGCAUGGCUGUCGUCAGCUCGUGUCGUGAGAUGUUGGGUUAAGUCCCGCAACGAGCGCAACCCUCACUUUUAGUUGCCAUCAUUAAGUUGGGCACUCUGAAAGAACUGCCAGUGAUAAGCUGGAGGAAGGUGGGGAUGACGUCAAGUCCUCAUGGCCCUUACGUGUUGGGCUACACACGUGCUACAAUGGCAUUUACAACAGGAAGCAAAACGGCAACGUUAAGCAAAUCCCGAAAAGAUGCCCCACUUCGGACUGCAAAUUCCAACUCCCUUGCAUAUACCCUAACUUAAAAGU